RNAcentral lists this long non-coding RNA (2403 nucleotides) under Gallus gallus (chicken). Lineage: Eukaryota; Metazoa; Chordata; Aves; Galliformes; Phasianidae. The record is from RNAcentral.
GCUUUUAAUGUCAUUUAUAAAAAAAUAAAGUUAUUUACAUUUGCAACUUAUUUGAUGGCAUCCUCCUUUUAUUACAGCAUUCGGAUUAGUGAAGAAACAUCACUAGAACUCAUUUGAGUGUAAACUUAUCAAAGAGAAGCGUGGCAGUACAGAAGAUAAUGUUUAACACGUUUUGAAUCCUUGCUGUAUUGCAGCAUCACACAAUUCAUUCUUUGCAGCACGUGCACCCUGGCCUUUCAGUGAGCAGAAUUUCUCUUCCAUAUUAAGAUGUAGAAACUGUGCCACAUCUUGGGGACAGCCCCACGUCCUUACACGUGGCACGUCAAGGCAUAACCAAAGGAAUUAGUUUCAUUCCAUUGGGUGGUAGCCUACAUGCAGAAUGUAGCUGCUUACAUAUUUCCAGGAAAACUCCGGUUAAAAGGACAAAAACAAAGUAUGGUUACACUUAUUGCAUAGUUACAGUAAACCCGACCCGUGAAUACAAAAGCCAUCAAAAUAUAUUAUAAAUCUGAGUUUCGAAGCUACUCUAAAAUACUGCUUUGCUUUAGAAUACAAAUAACACUGGUUGGGGUUAGUUUGUAGAGUUGCAUUUUGGUCCAUGCUGUUAAUUCUACAUCAUUCUGUUCCUCUUCCAUUAGUUUAAUAGCCUCAGAACAACAGGUCCUCAGGCAGCGGCACGAAUGGCAAAGCCCAGGAAAGGCUUUUCCAAAUCUCAGACUUCAGCGGCUGCAGUCAGUCCGUAACAGCUCUCCUUUCCAGCAUCUCCUUCCUUUACUGCUUUAAAUAGACUUCCCUCAGAGCUCUAAGGGAAAGAAUUUGGCUAAGCGGUAGUUCCACAUAAUCUGCUGGCGGCAGAGACGUCUUUGGUGUCAGCGUCGGGUCGUCCCGAGACCACAAAUGGCCAAGUCAGGUUGACGGGGUGCACGUAGCCGUUCUCGUAGCGGUCCUCUUGCAGCAGCUGCCGGAGGUGCGCGAUGUAGCUGGAGGCCAGGCGCAGCGUGUCCAGCUUGGAGAGCUUGGUGUCGGGGGGCACCCAGGGCAGGGUGGUCUUCAGCCUGGAGAAGGCUUUGCUAAGGACCCGCAUCCUUGCCCUCUCCCUUGCGUUGGCCGCGUUGCGCUGCGACUGCUUCCCCUCUGCCGCCGGCCCCCGCGGCCCCGACGGCGCCUUCUUGCCCCCGGGGCCGCUGCCCCUCGCCCGCUUCCUCUUGCAGCCCGCCGGCCCCGCCGCACAGCUGCCCUCGCCGUCCUCCUCCUCCUCCUCCUCUUCCUCCUCCUCCUCCUCCUCCUCCGCCGCCGAGGAGUUGUCCCCCGAGGGGUAGAGCUCGCCACGGGGCUGCCGCUUGCCCGCCGCCGGGUAGUCCAGCUGCAGCGCCCGCAGGUCCAUCUCGGGCAGCUCCUCCGCCUCGCUCCCGGAGCCCGUUGACAUGGCCCCGGGGGGAGGCGGCGGCGGCGGCUGCUGCUGCUGCUGCUGGCGGCGGCGGCGGCGGCGGCAGGGCGGGCGGCCGAGGCGGCUGCGGGCAGCGCGGGGCGGCCCCGCCGCGGAGAGUCCGUGCGGGGGCGCGGGGGGAGCGGCGGGGGGAUGCGCCCCCGCACAGCGCUAUAUAGCGGCGGCCGCGGGGCCGAGAGGCGGCCGGGCCGGGGGGAGGAGGAGGGGGCAGCCCCCGGCCGAGCCCCGCGGUGGGGCGGUGCCUCCCGCAACGCCCGGCGCGGCGCCGCGCGCGGAGGGGCGCGGAGGGGCGCGGGGCCGCCCCGUGGGCUGCGGGGUAUCGGGCUCUGCGGGAGAGCCCCGCGAGGGAAAGGACGGGUGAACGCUCGCGUAAACGUUCAACAGGGGGAUAUAAGAAGAGCCCCCGAGGUGCAUCCCUACCGCGCCCCAGACGCCGCCUCUUCCCAGGAUGAAUAAGCAACACAUUGCUUCCCCGCUGCCCUCCCGGCCCUGUCUGCGCGCAGUUAAGCAGAAUAACAGUUCCACUUCCAGAAUAGAAAAGAACCUAAUGACUACAACAGGUGGAAAGAUCUUGUCCCGAAAUUUCGCUCCCGUCUUUUUUUUUUUUUCCCCUUACAUUUCCCUCCCGAGUUAAGUGGAACCUUCCCGCUGCCGCAGAGCGACUUUCCUGGCACCCGCGGCCGUGCUUUCGCCCAGCGCUCAGCGGCCCGCGGCCACUUAACGCUGUGUAAACCUCGGCUUCGCCCGCUGGGGCCAGAACCACAUCAGAGCCGGGUUUGGGAGCAGCCCUUCCAAGGGAAACUUGACAUUGCUUGAAGCGCCGAAACACGCGGCUGAUCCUGCAACUGGAUCUCUUGAACUCGGGUUGACACUGAGAUGCUCUCGCUGGCACUGAGGAAGGGGUGCGCGCCAGACUUGGGGGCUGCUUGGCCUCCCCAGUUAGCGUACAUUACCCC